This 1007-nucleotide ribosomal RNA is filed under the name uncultured rumen bacterium. RNAcentral's name for it is "bacterial SSU rRNA". It matches the Rfam family "Bacterial small subunit ribosomal RNA", at positions 8 to 1027 of the family's 1533-position model. The record is from RNAcentral.
AGAGUUUGAUCAUGGCUCAGGACGAACGCUGGCGGCGUGCUUAACACAUGCAAGUCGAACGGAACUUUCGGGUUCAGUGGCAAACGGGUGAGUAACGCGUAGGCAAUCUGCCGUAAAGUUGGGGACAACAGUUCGAAAGGACUGCUAAUACCGAAUGUUAUGUUUUUAUCGCAUGAUAGAUACAUUAAAGAUUUAUCGCUUUACGAGGAGCCUGCGUCCGAUUAGGUAGUUGGUAAGGUAACGGCUUACCAAGCCGACGAUCGGUAACCGGUCUGAGAGGAUGAACGGUCACAUUGGAACUGAGAGACGGUCCAGACUCCUACGGGAGGCAGCAGUGGGGAAUAUUCCACAAUGGGCGAAAGCCUGAUGGAGCGACGCCGCGUGAGUGAAGAAGGUUUUCGAAUCGUAAAGCUCUUUUCAACUUGACGAAUGGGUUAUUAGAUAACCAGAGACGGUAAAGAUGGAAUAAGCCACGGCUAACUACGUGCCAGCAGCCGCGGUAAUACGUAGGUGGCAAGCGUUGUCCGGAAUUAUUGGGCGUAAAGGGAGCGCAGGCGGUUUGGUAAGUCUUACUUAAAAGUGCAGCAGUAAAAGUUGUGAUGGGUAAGAAACUAUUGAACUUGAGAGCAGGAGAGGCAAGCGGAAUUCCCAGUGUAGCGGUGAAAUGCGUAGAUAUUGGGAGGAACACCAGUGGCGAAGGCGGCUUGCUGGACUGCAUCUGACGCUGAGGCUCGAAAGCUAGGGUAGCGAACGGGAUUAGAUACCCCGGUAGUCCUAGCUGUAAACGAUGAGUGCUAGGUGUGGGAGGUAUCGACUCCUCCCGUGCCGGAGUCAACGCAAUAAGCACUCCGCCUGGGGAGUACGGUCGCAAGACUGAAACUCAAAGGAAUUGACGGGGGCCCGCACAAGCGGUGGAGUAUGUGGUUUAAUUCGACGCAACGCGAAGAACCUUACCAAGCCUUGACAUUGAUUGACAGGUUAUGAAAGUAACUUUUUCCUUCGGGAAC